GAGUUUACAACUCCCAAACCCCUGUGAACAUACCAAUUGUUGCCUCGGCGGAUCAGCCCGCUCCCGGUAAAACGGGACGGCCCGCCAGAGGACCCCUAAACUCUGUUUCUAUAUGUAACUUCUGAGUAAAACCAUAAAUAAAUCAAAACUUUCAACAACGGAUCUCUUGGUUCUGGCAUCGAUGAAGAACGCAGCAAAAUGCGAUAAGUAAUGUGAAUUGCAGAAUUCAGUGAAUCAUCGAAUCUUUGAACGCACAUUGCGCCCGCCAGUAUUCUGGCGGGCAUGCCUGUUCGAGCGUCAUUUCAACCCUCAAGCCCAGCUUGGUGUUGGGACUCGCGAGUCAAAUCGCGUUCCCCAAAUUGAUUGGCGGUCACGUCGAGCUUCCAUAGCGUAGUAGUAAAACCCUCGUUACUGGUAAUCGUCGCGGCCACGCCGUUAAACCCCAACUUCUGAAUGUUGACCUCGGAUCAGGUAGGAAUACCCGCUGAACUUAAGCAUAUCAA
Molecule: ribosomal RNA, 503 nt
Filed under: Fusarium subglutinans
Lineage: Eukaryota; Fungi; Ascomycota; Sordariomycetes; Hypocreales; Nectriaceae
Description: eukaryotic LSU rRNA
Rfam family: 5.8S ribosomal RNA (bases 147-300)
Source: RNAcentral